UACUGGACUGUUUGGUUCAAAACUGGACACCUGGCAACCCUAGAUUGAUCUGGUUUUAAACAACAUGGGUUACCUCAAUCUGUGCCCUGCCACCUCAGUCUUUGGGAUUUGCAAUGGCUUUCAUCCCAAAAGAAGCAUUUCUUAAUUUUUACUGGGUUUUCUACUAAUUUUAUUACUGGGGGUCAUGGAGCUCAUGUGAAGAAUGGUGACGUCUUUACAGCUCCAUCAAGGGCUUUCUCUCUAUGACCCUCAGUGAGUUUGUCUGAUGAAGCAAAGAAUACAAAGAGGUCUUUGCCAGUAGGAAAAGUUUAGGUGCCAUAGGCUCUGUUGCAGCCUGCUUCAUUUACCUUUUUCCUCUUUUUUUGGUAGAUGCUUUUUAUGAGCUUUGUUUGUUUCAUGGUAAGUAACCCAGAUGUAUGUAACUCUUCUAGCAGGCCAAUGCUAUGGCUGCCACAUGACAGCUAGAACUUCUUGUACUGUAUCUAAAGGCUUCUCUUUAUUGGUACCAACUAUAAACUCUUAACAGCUGCUGCUCCUCUGCCUUGAGAUGUUAAUGGUGAUCAUCUCCUUUCUGUUUCUGGGUCUGAGAAGCUGGGAGUUGCUUUUCAUCCCAGGGCAAGGUUAAUGGUUGAACAUUACAGAUAGCUUUUGAUAGAUUCAAGAUUUCCCCAGUCACUGUUGUGCUUAGCUACCACCCUGGACAUUUAUGCUCUUCUGCCAACCUGGGCUGUGGCCUGGGGUCCCUGGGCAUGAGUUUCUGGUUUGCACAGGAGUUUAAUGAAGAAAUCAUUUGGCUGUUUAGGAAAAACCAACAGCUGGUUCUAGAGCUUUUAUCAGUCUUACCUCCUGCUUAUUGCUCCCCCUAUUUUGAUUCUGUGGUAAGGUUUGAAACCUGACAGUAAUCUUACCUGUUUUCCCAAGCCAUUUAACUGAUUUAAUGAUGCCCUUUGAGCUACUUUCUGCACAAGGCUUUGGAUUGUGUUGUAAUAGAAGACGUGUACUAGAACAGAUUGUGUUGUACUAGAACACUCAGAGACCUAUCGGUGUGACAGUCACCUGGUAAUACACUCGCAACCAGUAAAACAUGUAGCUGUGCGUGUGCAUGUGGGCGCACACUCAACAUGCCUGUUUCUUCAAGGAGCCUAUUGGAAGAAGAGGGCAAAUCCAGCUGUGAAACAUGAGAGAAUGGAGACUCUGCCACUUAGAUUCACACAAAAGAAAACAUAAAACACAUCAGAAGCUGGAGAAUUCUGGGCAAGAAGUGGAGAAGAUAUCUUGAUUAAGAAGCAAUGCCGAGGAUUGUGGACAAGAGGAGGCACAAGCAGUUUCCCGCACAGGUGUUAAUAGGUGCCAAGACUGUCAAAUGAAGUAUUUGAUUUAGUAUAGUGGCAGGAGACAGUUAUUGCCACGCACACCUACAAUCACAUCUCUAGUACAAGUGAACUUGACUCCUGCCAUUCCCAUGCAAUGGCAGUAUGCGCUAAAGUGGAGCAUCUCUGUCUCAGCACAAGUCAGCAUUGCCGCUUCCUCCUUGGACAGUACAGCUUCCUUGAGUCUGUCUUCUUGCUAGAGAUGAUACCCUGCUACUAAAUUCAUUUCUGGUUCUCCUCUUUGCCAAGUGCAUCGAAUCUGUGCAGGGAACUGGAGAUCUACCUGGAGUGCUAACCAUCCUGCCAGUAGUCUGACUCCCCCAACUCCUGCCUCUCAUGCCUGGCGCCUCCCUAUAGCUAGCGUGUCAUAUGUGUGAGCAUAUUCUGAUACAAAGCCAGGGUUGGAAUUUGGAUUCCUACUUGCUAUACCAAUCUGCUUCAUUGGCUAUCCCAUCUCCUGCUGUGCCACGUUAGACCACUGGCCCCUUUAGCCCCAUACCUUGUUUAUGUAUCACUGGAAAGGUGCUUAAUGCUUUGCAGAUGGUGAGAAUACAAGGUCUCUGUCUGGACAUCUGACACCUACAUUCGAUAAUGUACAGAAAAAGGGGGACGGGAGGGCUGUGCCAUAAAAGCCCAGGGAUGGAGCUAUGGGUA
Molecule: non-coding RNA, 2024 nt
Organism: Pelodiscus sinensis (Chinese soft-shelled turtle)
Lineage: Eukaryota; Metazoa; Chordata; Testudines; Trionychidae
Source: RefSeq, a predicted model, not a curated record